RNAcentral lists this ribosomal RNA (1244 nucleotides) under Phytoplasma sp. BN-Ma198. RNAcentral's name for it is "bacterial SSU rRNA". It matches the Rfam family "Bacterial small subunit ribosomal RNA", at positions 153 to 1399 of the family's 1533-position model. The record is from RNAcentral. Lineage: Bacteria; Bacillati; Mycoplasmatota; Mollicutes; Acholeplasmatales; Acholeplasmataceae.
GAAACGACUGCUAAGACUGGAUAGGAGAUAAGAAGGCAUCUUUUUAUUUUUAAAAGACCUAGCAAUAGGUAUGCUUAGGGAAGAGCUUGCGUCACAUUAGUUAGUUGGUGGGGUAAUGGCCUACCAAGACGAUGAUGUGUAGCCGGGCUGAGAGGUCGAACGGCCACAUUGGGACUGAGACACGGCCCAAACUCCUACGGGAGGCAGCAGUAAGGAAUUUUCGGCAAUGGAGGAAACUCUGACCGAGCAAUGCCGCGUGAACGAUGAAGUAUUUCGGUACGUAAAGUUCUUUUAUUAGGGAAGAAAAGAUGGUGGAAAAACCAUUAUGACGGUACCUAAUGAAUAAGCCCCGGCUAACUAUGUGCCAGCAGCCGCGGUAAUACAUAGGGGGCAAGCGUUAUCCGGAAUUAUUGGGCGUAAAGGGUGCGUAGGCGGUUAAAUAAGUUUAUGGUCUAAGUGCAACGCUCAACGUUGUGAUGCUAUAAAAACUGUUUAGCUAGAGUUGGAUAGAGGCAAGUGGAAUUCCGUGUGUAGUGGUAAAAUGCGUAAAUAUACGGAGGAACACCAGAAGCGAAGGCGGCUUGCUGGGUCUUAACUGACGCUGAGGCACGAAAGCGUGGGGAGCAAACAGGAUUAGAUACCCUGGUAGUCCACGCCCUAAACGAUGAGUACUAAACGUUGGAUAAAACCAGUGUUGAAGUUAACACAUUAAGUACUCCGCCUGAGUAGUACGUACGCAAGUAUGAAACUUAAAGGAAUUGACGGGACUCCGCACAAGCGGUGGAUCAUGUUGUUUAAUUCGAAGGUACCCGAAAAACCUCACCAGGUCUUGACAUGCUUUUGCAAAGUUGUAGAAAUACAGUGGAGGUUAUCAGAAGCACAGGUGGUGCAUGGUUGUCGUCAGCUCGUGUCGCGAGAUGUUGGGUUAAGUCCCGCAACGAGCGCAACCCUUGUUGUUAAUUGCCAUCAUUAAGUUGGGGACUUUAGCAAGACUGCCAAUGAUAAAUUGGAGGAAGGUGGGGACGACGUCAAAUCAUCAUGCCCCUUAUGACCUGGGCUACAAACGUGAUACAAUGGCUGUUACAAAGGGUAGCUAAAGCGUAAGCUUCUGGCGAAUCUCAAAAAAGCAGUCUCAGUUCGGAUUGAAGUCUGCAACUCGACUUCAUGAAGUUGGAAUCGCUAGUAAUCGCGAAUCAGCAUGUCGCGGUGAAUACGUUCUCGGGGUUUGUACACACCGCCCGUCA